RNAcentral lists this unclassified non-coding RNA (415 nucleotides) under Hevea brasiliensis (rubber tree). The record is from RNAcentral. Lineage: Eukaryota; Viridiplantae; Streptophyta; Magnoliopsida; Malpighiales; Euphorbiaceae.
GGCUAUUGCAAAUUUUAUGUACCUGAUUAGAGAAUUCAUAAAUUACAGCUUCUCGUCCUAUGUCAUCGAUAGUACGUAAAUCUACUGUGAAGGUCACCUGGCCUGGAAUGACAUUGCUUGCGCUGGGCCAUGUCGAUAUCUCUCCAACCGUACAGACAAGCGAUGUGGAAAGUGAUUUCAAGGUAGAAUCAGAACAAUGCCCAUCAAAAGAUAAGUAGCUCUCUGGUUGCUUACAGAGUUUUUCCAAUUGUACAAUCAAUUCGGCUGAAGCGGCCAUGGGAUCUUGGCGCAUAGGCAUUGGAACAGUUCCUGCAUGCCCCUGAGAACCUCUCACUGUAACCUUUAGCCGUGUCUGCCCAGCUAUGCCUCUAACCACUCCAAGAGGAAAACCAGACCACUCAAGUACAGGACCUUG